GAAAUGCGAUAAGUAAUGUGAAUUGCAGAAUUCCGUGAAUCAUCGAAUCUUUGAACGCACAUUGCGCCCUCUGGUAUUCCGGGGGGCAUGCCUGUCCGAGCGUCAUUGCAACCCUCAAGCGCGGCUUGUGUGAUGGGCUUCCGUCCCUCGCGGACGGGCCCGAAAGGCAGUGGCGGCGUCGUUUCCGGUGUCCGAGCGUAUGGGGCUCUGUCACCCGCUCGCGAGACCCGGGCGACGCCGGCCGAACAAAUUUAUCAACCAAGGUUGACCUCGGAUCAGGUAGGGAUACCCGCUGAACUUAA
Molecule: unclassified non-coding RNA, 302 nt
Filed under: uncultured Eurotiomycetes
Lineage: Eukaryota; Fungi; Ascomycota; Eurotiomycetes
Description: sequence contains ITS1
Rfam family: 5.8S ribosomal RNA (bases 1-105)
Source: RNAcentral